CCUACGGGAGGCAGCAGUGAGGAAUAUUGGUCAAUGGACGAGAGUCUGAACCAGCCAAGCAGCGUGAAGGAUGACUGCCCCAUGGGUCGUAAACUUCUUUUAUAAGGGAAUAAAACGAGGCACGUGUGCCUUUUUGCAUGUACUUUAUGAAUAAGGAUCGGCUAACUCCGUGCCAGCAGCCGCGGUAAUACGGAGGAUCCGAGCGUUAUCCGGAUUUAUUGGGUUUAAAGGGUGCGUAGAUGGGUUGUUAAGUCAGUUGUGAAAGUUUGCGGCUCAACCGUAGAAGUGCAAUUGAUACUGGCAGUCUAGAGUACGGUUGAGGUAGGCGGAAUUCGUGGUGUAGCGGUGAAAUGCUUAGAUAUCGCGAAGAACCCCGAUUGCGAAGGCAGCUUACUAACCUGUGACUGACGUUGAUGCACGAAAGUGUGGGUAUCGAACAGGAUUAGAUACCCCGGUAGUC
This 460-nucleotide ribosomal RNA is filed under the name uncultured bacterium. Its description in RNAcentral is "partial 16S ribosomal RNA". It matches the Rfam family "Bacterial small subunit ribosomal RNA", at positions 338 to 795 of the family's 1533-position model. The record is from RNAcentral.